GGGCAAGUCUGUGCCGCGGUUUGCACGGUUUUUUCUGUGGCGUAUUCCGGCUACUUCCUGACCCACCUGACUCGUCACCUCACACGCGGAUGGAGACACGCCCGUCCUUUGGGCUCACCAGCAGGGUCAGCACCUCCUCUGGCUCCCUCUCUUGCUGAGGAAGAGGCUGAAGAGGAGCCAAAUGACAAGAAGCCUCCAUCUGUUGU
Molecule: long non-coding RNA, 206 nt
Organism: Corvus hawaiiensis (hawaiian crow)
Lineage: Eukaryota; Metazoa; Chordata; Aves; Passeriformes; Corvidae
Exons: 3
Source: RefSeq, a predicted model, not a curated record